GGCCCUAUGGGUUGUAAACUUCUUUUGUAUGGGAAGAAAAGCAGUUACGUGUAAUUGUCUGCCGGUACCAUACGAAUAAGGAUCGGCUAACUCCGUGCCAGCAGCCGCGGUAAUACGGAGGAUCCAAGCGUUAUCCGGAUUUAUUGGGUUUAAAGGGUGCGUAGGCGGCUCUAUAAGUCAGUAGUGAAAUCUCGAAGCUCAACUUCGAACGUGCUAUUGAAACUGUAGAGCUUGAGUACAGACGAGGCAGGCGGAAUGUGUUGUGUAGCGGUGAAAUGCUUAGAUAUAACACAGAACACCGAUAGCGAAGGCAGUUUGCCAGACUGUAACUGACGCUGAGGCACGAAAGCGUGGGGAGCGAACAGGAUUAGAUACCCUGGUAGUCCACGCCGUAAACGAUGAUUACUGGUUGUAGGCGAUACAUUGUCUGUGACUGAGCGAAAGUAUUAAGUAAUCCACCUGGGGAGUACGUCGGCAACGAUGAAACUCAAAGGAAUUGACGGGGGCCCGCACAAGCGGAGGAACAUGUGGUUUAAUUCGAUGAUACGCGAGGAACCUUACCUGGACUUAAAUGUAGAUUGCAUAGAGUGGAGACAUUCUUUUCUUCGGACUAUCUACAAGGUGCUGCAUGGUUGUCGUCAGCUCGUGCCAUGAGGUGUCGGGUUAAGUCCCAUAACGAGCGCAACCCCUAUCGUUAGUUGCUAGCAGGUAAUGCUGAGAACUCCAGCGAGACUGCCACCGUAAGGUGUGAGGAAGGUGGGGAUGACGUCAAAUCAGCACGGCCCUUACGUCCAGGGCUACACACGUGUUACAAUGGCAGGUACAAAGGGCAGCUACAUAGUGAUAUGAUGCUAAUCUCAAAAACCUGUCUCAGUUCGGAUAGGAGUCUGCAACUCGACUCCUUGAAGCUGGAUUCGCUAGUAAUCGUAUAUCAGCAAUGAUACGGUGAAUACGUUCCCGGGCCUUGUACACACCGCCCGUCAAGCCAUGGAAGUUAGGGGUACCUAAAGUACGUAACCGCAAGGAGCGUCCUAGGGUAAAACUGGUAACUGGGGCUAAGUCGUAACAAGGUAGCCGUACCGGAAGGUGUGGCUGGAACACCUCCUUUCU
RNAcentral lists this ribosomal RNA (1110 nucleotides) under uncultured Marinilabiliaceae bacterium. Its description in RNAcentral is "bacterial SSU rRNA". It matches the Rfam family "Bacterial small subunit ribosomal RNA", at positions 413 to 1533 of the family's 1533-position model. Lineage: Bacteria; Pseudomonadati; Bacteroidota; Bacteroidia; Marinilabiliales; Marinilabiliaceae. The record is from RNAcentral.